CCUUAUUUGUGUUCCCUGGGUGUGCAUGUGGCAGCAUGGACCAACAUCUAAAUAGAUGUGAAAGAAGAAUAGGGUCCUUUGAAGACUACUUGAUUUCUCCUAUGGCCUUUCCUGACCUGCCCAGUUCACUGUGGCUUAGCUGUCCCCUAACUCUGGUAACUCUGGUACCAUUCUCCUUCUGAACCACACCUCGUGACAGCAUUGAUCUACACACUACUGCUCUCAGGUACCCCGGGGAAAAGGAUGGAAAAGUGCCACUCUAUGGUGGGCUAUAUGGAUGUAAUAAGAGAAAAGAAAAGCAAAUAAAUAAAUAAAUAAAAUAAAAAUAAGAGAAAAGGCACACCAUCCAGUCAUGGUUUACUCAUCUUGAUGUGAUAGCCAUUAGGAGCAAACUCAAAUCUUAAUGGAUGUCAUUUCCAGUAGCCCCCUGGACUGAACAGCAAGUCACCAUCAUUUUCAAAGU
Molecule: long non-coding RNA, 463 nt
Organism: Canis lupus familiaris (dog)
Lineage: Eukaryota; Metazoa; Chordata; Mammalia; Carnivora; Canidae
Exons: 3
Source: RefSeq, a predicted model, not a curated record